CCCUUAGAUGUCCUGGGCCGCACGCGCGCUACACUGAUGCAUUCAACGAGUUUUACCUUGGCCGAGAGGCCUGGGCAAUCUUUUAAACCUGCAUCGUGAUAGGGAUAGAUUAUUGCAAUUAUUAAUCUUGAACGAGGAAUUCCUAGUAAACGCAAAUCAUCAAUUUGCAUUGAUUACGUCCCUGCCCUUUGUACACACCGCCCGUCGCUCCUACCGAUUGAAUGUUCCGGUGAGCUCUUCGGACUGCGCGGUCUGCAGUUUCUGCGUUCCGUGCGGAAAGUUGCGCAAACCUUAACAUUUAGAGGAAGGAGAAGUCGUAACA
RNAcentral lists this ribosomal RNA (322 nucleotides) under uncultured eukaryote. RNAcentral's name for it is "partial 18S ribosomal RNA". It matches the Rfam family "Eukaryotic small subunit ribosomal RNA", at positions 1470 to 1796 of the family's 1831-position model. The record is from RNAcentral.